RNAcentral lists this ribosomal RNA (200 nucleotides) under uncultured prokaryote. RNAcentral describes it as "partial 16S ribosomal RNA". It matches the Rfam family "Bacterial small subunit ribosomal RNA", at positions 1184 to 1382 of the family's 1533-position model. The record is from RNAcentral.
GUCAAGUCCUCAUGGCCCUUAUGCCUAGGGCUGCACACGUCCUACAAUGCAACACACAAAGGGAUGCAACCUCGUGAGAGUGAGCAAAUCCCAAAAAAUGUUGCCCAGUUCGGAUUGGAGUCUGCAAUUCGACUCCAUGAAGUCGGAAUCGCUAGUAAUCGCGCAUCAGAAUGGCCGCGGUCGAAUACGUUCCGGGCCUU